UGGGGAAUAUUGCACAAUGGGCGCAAGCCUGAUGCAGCCAUGCCGCGUGUGUGAAGAAGGCCUUCGGGUUGUAAAGCACUUUCAGCGAGGAGGAAGGUGGUGGACUUAAUACGUUCAUCAAUUGACGUUACUCGCAGAAGAAGCACCGGCUAACUCCGUGCCAGCAGCCGCGGUAAUACGGAGGGUGCAAGCGUUAAUCGGAAUUACUGGGCGUAAAGCGCACGCAGGCGGUUUGUUAAGUCAGAUGUGAAAUCCCCGGGCUCAACCUGGGAACUGCAUUUGAAACUGGCAAGCUAGAGUCUCGUAGAGGGGGGUAGAAUUCCAGGUGUAGCGGUGAAAUGCGUAGAGAUCUGGAGGAAUACCGGUGGCGAAGGCGGCCCCCUGGACGAAGACUGACGCUCAGGUGCGAAAGCGUGGGGCAGCAAACAGGAUUAGAUACCCUGGUAGUCCACGCUGUAAACGAUGUCGAUUUUGGAGGUUGUGCCCUUGAGGCGUGGCUUCCGGAGCUAACGCGUUAAAUCGACCGCCUGGGGAGUACGGCCGCAAGGUUAAAAC
Molecule: ribosomal RNA, 555 nt
Filed under: uncultured bacterium
Lineage: Bacteria
Description: partial 16S ribosomal RNA
Rfam family: Bacterial small subunit ribosomal RNA
Source: RNAcentral